RNAcentral lists this ribosomal RNA (703 nucleotides) under Microbacterium sp. CR-53. Its description in RNAcentral is "bacterial SSU rRNA". It matches the Rfam family "Bacterial small subunit ribosomal RNA", at positions 56 to 770 of the family's 1533-position model. Lineage: Bacteria; Bacillati; Actinomycetota; Actinomycetes; Micrococcales; Microbacteriaceae. The record is from RNAcentral.
UGCAAGUCGAACGGUGAACACGGAGCUUGCUCUGUGGGAUCAGUGGCGAACGGGUGAGUAACACGUGAGCAACCUGCCCCAGACUCUGGGAUAAGCACUGGAAACGGUGUCUAAUACCGGAUACGAGUAGCGAAGGCAUCUUCAGCUACUGGAAAGAACUUCGGUCUGGGAUGGGCUCGCGGCCUAUCAGCUUGUUGGUGAGGUAAUGGCUCACCAAGGCGUCGACGGGUAGCCGGCCUGAGAGGGUGACCGGCCACACUGGGACUGAGACACGGCCCAGACUCCUACGGGAGGCAGCAGUGGGGAAUAUUGCACAAUGGGCGAAAGCCUGAUGCAGCAACGCCGCGUGAGGGACGACGGCCUUCGGGUUGUAAACCUCUUUUAGCAGGGAAGAAGCGAAAGUGACGGUACCUGCAGAAAAAGCACCGGCUAACUACGUGCCAGCAGCCGCGGUAAUACGUAGGGUGCAAGCGUUAUCCGGAAUUAUUGGGCGUAAAGAGCUCGUAGGCGGUUUGUCGCGUCUGCUGUGAAAACCCGAGGCUCAACCUCGGGCCUGCAGUGGGUACGGGCAGACUAGAGUGCGGUAGGGGAGAUUGGAAUUCCUGGUGUAGCGGUGGAAUGCGCAGAUAUCAGGAGGAACACCGAUGGCGAAGGCAGAUCUCUGGGCCGUAACUGACGCUGAGGAGCGAAAGGGUGGGGAGCA